Molecule: transfer RNA, 83 nt
Filed under: Bacteroidota bacterium
Lineage: Bacteria; Pseudomonadati; Bacteroidota
Also listed under: 1 other name
Description: Bacteroidetes bacterium (activated sludge metagenome) tRNA-Tyr
Rfam family: tRNA
About the family: Transfer RNA (tRNA) molecules are approximately 80 nucleotides in length. Their secondary structure includes four short double-helical elements and three loops (D, anti-codon, and T loops). Further hydrogen bonds mediate the characteristic L-shaped molecular structure. tRNAs have two regions of fundamental functional importance: the anti-codon, which is responsible for specific mRNA codon recognition, and the 3' end, to which the tRNAs corresponding amino acid is attached (by aminoacyl-tRNA synthetases). tRNAs cope with the degeneracy of the genetic code in two manners: having more than one tRNA (with a specific anti-codon) for a particular amino acid; and 'wobble' base-pairing, i.e. permitting non-standard base-pairing at the 3rd anti-codon position.
Source: RNAcentral
GGGUAGGUAGCGAAGUGGUUAAACGCAACAGACUGUAAAUCUGUCGCCCUCGGGCUUCGGAGGUUCGAAUCCUUCCCUACCCA